This 687-nucleotide ribosomal RNA is filed under the name uncultured Bacteroidales bacterium. RNAcentral describes it as "bacterial SSU rRNA". It matches the Rfam family "Bacterial small subunit ribosomal RNA", at positions 67 to 741 of the family's 1533-position model. The record is from RNAcentral. Lineage: Bacteria; Pseudomonadati; Bacteroidota; Bacteroidia; Bacteroidales.
GGGCAGCAUGGUCUUAGCUUGCUAAGGCUGAUGGCGACCGGCGCACGGGUGAGUAACACGUAUCCAACCUGCCGUCUACUCUUGGCCAGCCUUCUGAAAGGAAGAUUAAUCCAGGAUGGGAUCAUGAGUUCACAUGUCCGCAUGAUUAAAGGUAUUUUCCGGUAGACGAUGGGGAUGCGUUCCAUUAGAUAGUAGGCGGGGUAACGGCCCACCUAGUCAACGAUGGAUAGGGGUUCUGAGAGGAAGGUCCCCCACAUUGGAACUGAGACACGGUCCAAACUCCUACGGGAGGCAGCAGUGAGGAAUAUUGGUCAAUGGGCGAUGGCCUGAACCAGCCAAGUAGCGUGAAGGAUGACUGCCCUAUGGGUUGUAAACUUCUUUUAUAAAGGAAUAAAGUCGGGUAUGCAUACCCGUUUGCAUGUACUUUAUGAAUAAGGAUCGGCUAACUCCGUGCCAGCAGCCGCGGUAAUACGGAGGAUCCGAGCGUUAUCCGGAUUUAUUGGGUUUAAAGGGAGCGUAGAUGGAUGUUUAAGUCAGUUGUGAAAGUUUGCGGCUCAACCGUAAAAUUGCAGUUGAUACUGGAUGUCUUGAGUGCAGUUGAGGCAGGCGGAAUUCGUGGUGUAGCGGUGAAAUGCUUAGAUAUCACGAAGAACUCCGAUUGCGAAGGCAGCCUGCUAAGCUGCAACU